This is a long non-coding RNA of Meriones unguiculatus (Mongolian gerbil), 3051 nucleotides long. RefSeq lists it as uncharacterized. The transcript has 2 exons. Lineage: Eukaryota; Metazoa; Chordata; Mammalia; Rodentia; Muridae. The record is from RefSeq and is a predicted model, not a curated record.
GUUCUUAAGAGAAGCAGGGGAGCUUAAACGGAGCUGAACGCUGACCUUAGCACGAAAGUUUGGGGUUAAGAUGGCAGAGAGCUGGGCAGGCUGACAUGAUGUUCUGGUUCUGUUGAGGUAGCAGAGGUCUGUCUGUCUGUCUGCCUUUUCCUCCACUUUUCCUAAUUUUGCUUUCAUAGACCCAGGAGUCUUGUCUCAAAGCUGCCACUUGGGAAAGGAUAGAGAGAUGGGACGCCUUUUGCUGUUUUGGCUUUCUAGAGACCCUACAGCACCAGGCGAGGAAGGUACCUUGUGACCUGCCUCCAGAAAUGAGGCUAUCCAGGCCAGGAGAACAUGCUGGACAGGGGAUCACAGCCCGUGCUCCACACCACGACAGGCUGGACUUCCAUUCAAAGGCACCAGAUGGCAGAGACCCGACCCUCCCCCCGAGGUAACAAAGUCACAAGGACCAGCCACUUGGGAUCCCAGAAGAGACAAAAUCCAGAAACCCUGCAGACAGUCUAAUUCCAGAUCACAUGGACACAGGUUUCUCCACUGGGACCUCUGAAGGAGAAAAGGGGCUUUCAUCUUUGAAGCAGUGGGUCACCUUUCUUAAAGACGUCUGUCAUAAACAGCAAGCCCUCCCAAGGAGCUCCCGUCUGAAAGCCCCACUGGGCCUACAGAUUUGGGACUGACAACCUCUCAGCUCGUGCUCCCCUGGUCUCCCUCGGACUUCUCUCCAGGUGACUACCCACACCAUGUGUCCAGCCUCACAAUGGCAUGUGCCCAGGCCAGAGAGCACAGCGUGAAUCCUCGGGUCCUGUGGCCCACACUUUUAUCCAGCCUGGCUCAGUGGCCAUACUCCUCUUUCCUUCCACAGGCUCUGAGGACUGCUGAUUCCAACUGAGAGUUUUCUCAAGGAUCGAAAGCUCUGCUGGCCUUCCUGAGGUUGGAACUUGGCAUUAGCGUGAAUCUCAGACGUGGGCAGGCAGGACAGCUGGGGAAGCCGGGGCAGACGUGGUCCCUGCUGAAAUGUUUCCACUGCCCUCGCUCAGUGGCUUGUGCUUUCUUUCCUGCCUUGGUUUCCCAGGACUUCAGCUGGGUCAAGCUCUCCUCCUUUUACCAUCACAGAGGUAGGAAGCCUUUGGUGUUCUGAUCCUUUCGAGUCCCCUCAGCGCUAAGGUGAGCCAGGCGGGGAGGGUGCCUGCGUCAUCACCAGGCAGGACGAGACUUGAGGGGCAGCAGUUCUCAGCACAUCUGAGGGAAGGUAGGCAGGGAACUGCUCCAGUGUACACUCCAGACCGUUCUCAGAGAGGCCAUUGUGUCUGAGAUGGGGCCUCACCAUCUGCACUUUCAGCUGCGUCUCACAGAAGCUCGGCAACAUCCUGUCAGCCUCAUUUGGGGAAGCAGACUUAGAAUCAUCCCCACAAUAUUCCAGCAAAGACCUGACACCAGAGACAAAAAAGCAAAAAACAAAACAAAGCAAAACCAAAAAACCUCUCCAGUUACCUGAUGGGCUAAUGGUGUCUUACUUCCUGUGUUCUCAUGCUUUGCCGUCUGGGUCUUGCUGACAAUGGAGGACAGCUCCUGUCUCAUCCUGCUACCCACCUGUCGCAUGCCAGCUGUUGCUCACCUGUCCUUAUCAGCCAGCACGGGGACCCAACCAGCAGGAAGUGCCCUGUGCCUGGAGCCCUGAGCAUAUCCAACCAUCCUGUCACUGCCCCAACCUACCCGGCACACUCAGCGACAGCUCUUCAAGGACUUCCCCCUCUUCCCAGAGGACAAGCGUGACAAUGAAACGUGUGGGACUUAAGUGUUGGAACCGUGCCUGGUUCCCAGAGAGGAUUAGGUCAGUAUCUAUUAUUAUCCUCGUUUCACUAAUGGGGAGACAGAGGCAGACGCAGGAUUAAGUUGCUUGCCAGCAUCCCCGGCUCCCACCGAGCUGGACGGAUGCCACCUUCCAGCCCCAGAGCUCACAUUUUAGUACACCAGAGAACGGCACUGGGAUUGCAUUUAAUCACACGUAUCGUUAGUUUCCUUUGACUUUCCUAGAGUAAGACCCGCCACAGCGGACACUUGUUAGAAGAAUGAAGUAGGUUUUGUUACAGUCAAGUGGGUUGGCUCGAGGCUGGAAUGCCGCAGCCCUCCUGUGCCCUGAGCAGUGAAGAGUGGUGAGGCUGGUGGAGUGUAGGCCGUGGGUCCAUGCCAGUGUGCAAAGCUCCAUGACGGAAUGAGCCCUGACCUCGUGGGGUGCCAGCUUGACCGUGCUGUGCAGGACCGGCCCAUCAGGCAGGGCCUGGAGCCUGUAACCUCUGGCACGGAGCUCUGUGGUCAACACAAAGACAAAUGAAGAAGGUCCCCAGGCUCCCAGGGGAAUUGACAGCAUCCGGUGGGCGAGUGAGAACACACAGAGGCCAGAGGAGAGGGCGGGGACUGCUAGGCACUUCCCUCCCUUUCCUAAGACUGAGUUCAUCAGAAAUGGAAUUUCUCUUUCCUCCGCUUUUCCCUCGUAACUCAAGCGUCUCAGUGGGUUUAUUUUAAGACGAAGCGUGCCUGGCACAUCUCAGCUUCCAAAACACCUGCUCUCCCUGAAGAUGCCAGGCAUGUGGGCAGUGACUGGAAGGCACAGAUCGCUGACUCCGUCUCAGAGCAGCAUCUACGGCUGCAGCUCAGCCUCACGCUUGCUCUCCUCCCUGCAGAAACCCCAAGGACCCUCCGGGUCCACACUCCUGAGUGCCCUAGUCUGGAAUCUGGUUAUCUUACAAUUGUCCAGCUCAGGCAGGAGAGACCUGGAAGCUGGUGGCCAUUCUGCUUCUCUUCAAUAACAUUAAAAUAACAUUUCGCUAGUCGCUAAUCUCCUCCAGUCUGAUACUAGGUGGGCGAGGGCUUUGUGCCUUGCUAACUCGCAACCGUAUUUCUCCCACUGUUUUCCCUGGGUCACGAAUCCCAAAGAGGGUUGUAAAGCUUGUGCACAUGUUUGAGGAUGAUGGCUAUAAGCAACACACCUGUAAUUCGGCCACAUAAUUGGCCGGCUUGUCUUCAUCAAGACUGUGAUAAAUGUCUCCCAAACCA